This 225-nucleotide ribosomal RNA is filed under the name uncultured bacterium. RNAcentral's name for it is "partial 16S ribosomal RNA". It matches the Rfam family "Bacterial small subunit ribosomal RNA", at positions 524 to 747 of the family's 1533-position model. The record is from RNAcentral.
UACGUAGGGCGCAAGCGUUGUCCGGAAUUAUUGGGCGUAAAGAGCUCGUAGGCGGUUUGUCGCGUCUGCUGUGAAAACCUAAGGCUCAACCUUGGGCUUGCAGUGGGUACGGGCAGACUAGAGUGCGGUAGGGGGUGACUGGAAUUCCUGGUGUAGCGGUGGAAUGCGCAGAUAUCAGGAGGAACACCAAUGGCGAAGGCAGAUCUCUGGGCCGUAACUGACGCU